Molecule: ribosomal RNA, 819 nt
Filed under: Triticum aestivum (bread wheat)
Lineage: Eukaryota; Viridiplantae; Streptophyta; Magnoliopsida; Poales; Poaceae
Description: partial small subunit ribosomal RNA
Source: RNAcentral
AUGGGACCCGACUGUAAGGAGCUGACUUGGCAAAAUAAUCAUACCCAGACCCCUAGUAGAUUUUUAAAAAAGCAAUCAGCCCCCUGGACCAUGGCCGCUGCCUCGAUCCCAUCCGAUCGAGAGAGCCCGAGGCCGACCCCCGGCCGCCUCUUCGACCGCAUCGGCCAGCUCACGGGGCUCCGCCGCCUCAGCAUCCACGACAACGCCAUCGCCGGCGCCAUCCCCGCCGCCCUCGGCUUCCUCCCCGACCUCCGCGGCCUCUACCUGUUCAACAACCACUUCUCCGGCGCCGUCCCGCCGGAGAUCGGCCGCUGCGUCGCGCUGCAGUCCCUGGAUGCCAGCAACAACCGCCUCACCGGCGUCCUCCCGGCCUCGCUCGCCAACUCCACCAAGCUUAUCCGCCUCAACCUCAGCCGCAACUCCAUCUCCGGCGAGAUCCCGGCCGAGGUCGCGGCCUCACAAUCCCUCCUCUUCCUCGACCUGUCCUACAACAGGCUCUCCGGCCGCAUCCCUGACGCCUUCGCGGGCGGCUCCAAGGCGCCCUCGUCGGCCUCCUCCGACGAGCGGAAAUUAGAAGCCAUCACCGGGACCUACCAGCUCGUCUUCCUCGGCCUCGCGCACAACACGCUCGACGGGCCAGUGCCGGAGUCGCUCGCGGGGCUCACCAAGCUGCAGGACCUCAACCUCGUCGGACAACGGCUGGGGCUGGGAGCCGGAGGCCGCCGUGGCGGCGGACGAGUGGGGCGACGGGGUGAGGGGGAGGGGCUUGGGAGGGGCUUGAUUGCUUUUGUUUUUCUAGAUCCAAGGGGGUGUUUGUAA